This 292-nucleotide long non-coding RNA is filed under the name Polistes fuscatus (common paper wasp). RNAcentral describes it as "uncharacterized LOC122523090". The record is from RNAcentral. Lineage: Eukaryota; Metazoa; Arthropoda; Insecta; Hymenoptera; Vespidae.
UGAAAUAUCAAAUCAAAACGUUAUAAUAAAUGCAUUUAUACAUUCCAAGAGAUAAUGUCAAAUUCUUUAGCAGGAAAGUUAAUACUUAACGUAAACGUAGGAUAUGGAAAUAUACAGAUUCACGAGUUGAUAAAUCUGCGAAGAGGAGGACAGGGGUGUUGAAUACAUCAGCUUUGUAACUCAAAUGAUCCAGUUUCAUCGAAUCUCUCUAUUGAGGUCAAACACUUGGAUUUCACACGAUUUAUAAUGCAACCGAAUGAAUCGGAAUAUGAAAGAACAAAUUCUCGAAAAG